This 200-nucleotide ribosomal RNA is filed under the name uncultured bacterium. Its description in RNAcentral is "partial 16S ribosomal RNA". It matches the Rfam family "Bacterial small subunit ribosomal RNA", at positions 8 to 199 of the family's 1533-position model. The record is from RNAcentral.
AGAGUUUGAUCCUGGCUCAGAGUUAACGCUGGCAGCGUGCAUAACACAUGCAAGUCGAGCGAGAUACAUAGCGUAGCAAUACGAAGUGUGUCUAGCGGCAGACGGGUGAGUAACACGUGAGAAAUCUGCCUCCGAGAAGGGGACAACCUGCCGAAAGGCGGGCUAAUACCCUGUACAAUCCCUAGAAGGCAUCUUCAGGG